Molecule: long non-coding RNA, 7372 nt
Filed under: Ricinus communis (castor bean)
Lineage: Eukaryota; Viridiplantae; Streptophyta; Magnoliopsida; Malpighiales; Euphorbiaceae
Description: long non-coding RNA (RCOM_LNC001753)
Source: RNAcentral
CUAGCUUCCUAACAUUGGAAACAGUGUCCUCCUUCAAAUCUUCAUACUUCAAGAAUAAGACCUUUUCAGGAUGUUCUUGGCUUGCCUUCCAAUAUCCUGCAACAUGAUCCCAAUAAGGUCCAUUUAAAGCAAUUCCUUCGCAAAAUGACUCGAAGGAAUCAUCCAUGCUGCAAUAUGCAUCUUUAUCGAUUCCUUCAGGUAAUCUUGCUCUCAAGAAAUGCCACAUUGAUACUAACACAUCCUUAGGAUCCCUGCAAAAAUACACCAUUUUACAUCCCAAUGCUGUUAUAGAAGUUGGCAGGGAACCAUAAGGAAUAUGUGUAGCUACAAGUGGAUUUUCUGGAUCACGAAUACAAGCUUUUUUUGUACCAAUUUCAACUUCCAGAAAAGGAACACAAUCGUGUGGUGUAGAUGUCAACAAAGGGCUUUCGCUAAUGCUAUAACGAGAACGUGUAGUAAUUGCAAAAGCUAAGGCCUUAAGCCAAGUUGUGCCGGUUUUAGGAUAAGUACAUAAGACAAGAUCAUCAGGUUGAGCUUGAAAUUUUUCUUGAGCAGCUAACAAUGCCUCUAGAUAAACAGUGAAGUACCAAAAGCCUUGGUAUUGGUGAAGAGGCAUGAAUUUCCAAUCAUUUCUUGCGGGUAGGGUGGAGAUAAGCUCACUGUAGUUGCUUUGAGGCAGGGAAAUUUGUGGUCCUCCUUCCUUGUCUUCAUGGACAAGGGGGAGUGCUUUGUUCAAUCUCGACUGCCGCAGUUGCACGAUGCUGGACACCCUUUGUUGUGAACCACCCCAUUGUGGAACCAACAUAGGGCGUACACCAAUGUUUUUCGAGGACUGUGAGGUUAUCACAUUUGUUGGGACUCCAUUCACAAUUCGUCCAUAAACAAGAUCCAUUUGGGAAUGAAAGAAAAAAAAGAAGCAAAUUUAAGUAAGAAUGCUUUGAUGGAGUAAUAGCCAAAUGAUAAAUGGAUCGAGCUGGUGACAAUGGAGGAUGAAAGGAUCCUAUAUUUAUAAUACAAGUAACAGCUCUUUUAAAAUAAAAUAAAAUAAAAUAAAACAAUUAACUAGUGGCAGCUAAAUCAGACUUCAUGCCGCCUAGAUUGAAGUAGAUAAAUUAAUCCCUAAUUUAAAGAUUUCAGGCCGCCUUAAUUUCAAUUAACAAAAAAAAAUUGGGCGCUCUUUCAGUAGACUUGGAUUGAUAAAAAAAAUAGUAUACUACACCCUCGGUAGUCCCUUCGAAGUAAGAGGUAAUUGAUUAAUUAAUUUUUUUUUCUGAAUUAUUUAGUUUUGAUUCUGACUAAAUCUGAUUUAAUUUAAUUUUAGUUUACAUCUAUCAUUUGGUAUGGUCAAUAUCGGUACCUUCUUGAUAUAAUAUAAUUAUCUGAUAUUAUUCUAUAUUUGCACAGAUACAUCUGUUUCAUUAUUGAAUAUCUUCUUAUUCUUUUUUUUUUUUUUUUCUAUGAUGGCCUUGGUUAGAAUUAAUUAUUCAUAUAUGUCCUUGCUGUUCUAGUGUAGUAGUUGUUGAUUGAAUGGUUGAUUUUUAAAUUUUAUGCAAUUUGCAGGUAUUUUCCAGAUUUUCUUAUUUUAACUUGGUAAUACUUCCCUUAAAAUCUCUUCCAAGGCAUUAUACAUUCAAUGCAUGUUUCUCUUCUGUAUUCAGUAGAUCGGAUGUAUGUAAUUACAGUACCGCAAAAAAGUGGCUUGUCUCCACUUCAGGUAAAUGCAUCUUUUCAUCAUAUGUUUUUCCUCACACCAAUUAAUAAUAAAUAAAAGAUUUUCUUUAUUAUCGAAUAUUUUGAUACAUAUUCUUUUGCAUCUAUUUUUGGCUUGAAGGCUUUGACAUUGCAUUACUAUUCGUUAUCACUGUAUUUGUUGUUAAGAGCUAAAAUAGAGUCUUGUGUUAGCAGUAACCGAAUAUAAUGAUGAAUAAUGAUGAUACUGGUAAUAUAUAGAUAGAUGAAAAAAAAAAAUUUAUCAGAUUAAAACAUCGAGGUUCAGCUUAGACUUUUAAAAGUUAAAGAUGCUGAAAAAGAAAUAUCAUUAAAACUAAUGCUUAAGAAAACACGUUAAAAACUGGUGAAAAGUUUAAUUAUAAGUGAUCUUCAAGUGAGAAUACAGCACUGAAGCUGGCAACUAGGGCAAGCACCGAGAAUUUCUUGGAGCAAUCUGACGAGCAUUUCUUUCACUGUACAAAUGGAAGACUUUCAGGCAGAUAAGUGGCCAUUCAUUAAGAUAAAUUUCUCUGGUAUUACCGUUGUUCCAAUAAGGUAGGAUUCUUAUCUGUUCUUAUCCACCUCCUAGUGUUGUGAAACAUGAAGCGCAAAGACUCAAAGUCCUGUCUGAGCAGCAUAAACGAGGUAAGGCUGCAAGCCUAGUGAGAAAAAUGAAUAAAUGGGAGAAAGAGGAAUCGGCUCUCCAAGUAAACUGUCUAAUUCUGGGUGGUACUUGAAUUCGCCAAAUGGGAUCAGGGGUACUUGUUAAAUAUCUGGCAUUGGCAGUUGUUAACAAAGAGUUGUUCCUUUCAUAAUCAGCUGAAGCCAAAAGACUUCACCAAAGGAAAAUUCGGAUGAUUUGCUUAACUUUUUUUGGGUGCUACUAUUUUUAUUUUUAUUUUAAUAAUUGGUACCAAAAAAAUAUCUAUACCAAUUGGAUAUAAUGACCAACGAUUUGAUAUCAACGAAGUAAUUUUUCUGAAAACUAAGAUUGAUAAUCCAUUAUAAUACUUGGCUUUAAGCAUUUGGAGCUAAAGCGUUAGCAUGAGCCCCGAAUUUCCAUGCCUGCUUAGUUAUUAAUACGAACUCACUCGAAAAGAUACCUCCAUGCGAGCAAGAGCUCGCCACAGGAAGACAUGUCGAGCGGACCCUUAGAUCAGUCGUGUUUAGAGCUAGCGCAAGAUAAUAGAAGCCUACUCCAGCACGACUUCAUCUCCUACAAACUUGAAAGAGGACUCUAAUAGUUGUUAUUCAGUAAAUAAAGGACUUUAUCCCACUUAUGAUAACUCUAUCUCUGAUAAUGAAAGAAACAUAUCGCUAGUAAACUACUCUAUCUCAACAUCUAUAGAUAUGGAUAAUACAUGUCACAACCCGAUCUGUGGGCCCGUGACCGGUACUAGGAAAUGGGUAGGCGUAAGGCCACUGAAUCUCGUAGUAAGCCCGACCAUUCACUAACUUAAUCAAAUUGAAACUCGGACUCAACUCAAAAUACUAAUUCACAAUUAACCUUAAUAUCAAAUUCUACAUAUUUAAUUUGGUAUGCCAGCAUAAUUAGGCAAGACCCUAAUUUACAUGAAAUUACAAACUAAUAAGUCUAAAAUUUCUACUGUGGAGAAUCUAGAAUUUUAGAAGUUAACAUACAAAUAAAUUUAGUUACAUCUAACCCGAUAAUAAAGAAGUCGGGCUGCUAGAGAAAAAAACUGCAAAAAACUAACUACACCUGAAUGCUAUAAAAUUGAGACUGUCAGUCUCGAGAGUGAGUUAAAAUCAUAUAUCUCACAACGAAUAUAAAUACUUCAAUAAAAUAUUUGUUUAAUUAAAAUAAAAAUACGUGUCAUGUUAUGCUUUUGUAAAAUAAAAUAAAUUUUAUUGCAUAUUACCGGACGGAGUAUCUCAGCAUAACCUUAGCUCCAACACUAACGGUUUCUACUCUCUCAUUCCAACAGAAUUGAUGUCCAGAGAGUGAAGCUCGACCAGGAUCCUUAAAUCUAGUCCGGUCACUUAAUUAUCACUAAUAGUCUUUAGCCUUUCGGCUCUCUUACUCUAAUAAGACNNNUGCUCAGAGAGCAAUGCUCGACCAUGGACCUUACUUCGGCAACACACUCUUAUUUCUUAAGUUUGGUGUACCUCCUCACCUAUAUACCAAACUGAUAAAUAAUUGACACAAAUUAAUUAGUUUUAAAUAAUAAAAUAUAUAUCAAUCAUCUAAUACUAAAGUGUAAAACAUUUAUAAUAUAUAUCAUUUUUCUUUUUAUUGUGGUGAACUAAGCUUAGAUAAGAAUUUCUCAUAUUAAAGUUACUAAAACAUCAGUUGUCGAUAACACAUUUAUUGCCUUUGAAAAAGUCUUCUAUUAUUAAAGGUGGCAAAUUCUACUUAUUUAUAUUUAUCCAUUUUAAUCCAAUUUUAUUAUAUAAAUAAAUAAUAUAUAAAAUUUAAAUAAAUUAUAAAAAAUAAAAAAUAAUCAUCAUUAUUUACAUGAUUUAGAUCGCAUCAGAAAUAAAUACUCACUAAUAAACCAUCUUAUUAAUUUAUUUUCCUAAAAUUGAAUACAAAUCCAACACUCAUUUAUCAAUAGACAUCAUCAAACACCUGAUAAACUAAUCUUACUUCUGUAUUGUUCUAGAUUCGUAAUUGGGAUUAUCAUUUCUUGCUCUUGCUUCAAGAUUUCUAUAAUUGAUAAAAACUUUUGAUACUAUUUUCCACUUCUGUUAUAUAUAUAUAUAUAUAUAUAUAUAUAUAUAUAUAUAUAUAUAUUAGCAGAAUUGUUAUUAUUAUUAUUUUUUGUUGUUCUUGAACAUGCACCUCAUUUUGAGUUGUCUUCUUGCAGUUUUUUGAUUUGUUUUUUUUUUUUUCUUUUUAAAGUGUGUUGAUGUCUCUUUGAUUAGUGCUUACUCAAUAUUUUUAAUUUAAUAGGGUACUCUGUAGAAACGAUCACUCACAUUCUUCUUAAAUUUUUCAAUUUUGAUUAAGAAUCAAAUGCGGCUUUUGUUGGUAUACUAGGAAUUCAAACUUUCUUUUCUUUUAGUUUUUGAACAGUUUAUAUUUAAAAUAAUUCAAACUUUAAUUAGUGUAAAAACACCAACAAACCCAAAAGUGAAGAAACCUUAAAAUAAAAAUCGGCCCGAAAACUUGUAAAAAAGAAUCAGCUCAAAAAGAAUUAAAUUGAAAAAUAUAUUACUUAGUGAAAAUAAGAUCUAUAGUAAUAAUAUAAUAUAUUAAAACUAGUUUCUUAAGAAAAUAUUAAAAUAAUUAGAUUAAUAAUAAUUUAUUAAAUAAGCUACUAAAAAUUUAUAUGAGUUAUAUGAUUGGAUAAUUAUAUAAAUUUUAAAUGAAUUAUAUUCAUUUAAUGAUGGAUUUAGAUGGACGUUAAACUUUAAAUAUAUAUUUUAUAAUAUUUAUAUAUAAUAAUAUUAAAUAUUAAAAAGGAUUGAUCGAUUAAAUAUGAAUCGAAAACUGAGCCUUGAUUGAUUUCACUUUAACUAAUAAAAAAAAAUAGCAGGAGCAAAAAGUUUCACAAAAGAAUUCGUCUAACCGAUCAAAGAAUUCUAUCUCUUUUUCUCAUUGAUAAUUGUAACCAUGUAACCAUAUACAUAUAAAAUGACUUUAAUGGAAUGCCAAUCUGUGGGCUUAAUUUAAAAAGUCUCUAUUCCUUAGUAAUUAAAAUCUAAAGAUUUAUGAACCAAUACGUAUUUGACUAGCCAAGCGGACAAAUGACUCUAUAUUUUUACAAACCAAGAUAUAUAUAUAUAUAUUAGUGUCGUUCGUAAUGGAAAGAAAGAUACCACUACUUGGCCUCUUUGUUGGACCGCCGGCGCGAACACAGUGGUCUCUGACCAGGACCAGGAACCAAUUCAAAUUUGGAUCUUGACAUGUUGGUGGUUUUUAACCGUAGGCAUCUUGCCAGGAACCCAUGAACCGUCUGUUAUAUGCAAAAUUAAUAUGAGUAUUAAAAUACCACAUGCAAUGUACCAAGUCAACAUUACAUUCAUAAGCCAAAAAUAAUCCUAACAGUUCCUCCCACUUUGAAAAGUAAAAUAACAAACAAUUGUAGAUAAUUUUUUUUCUUAUUUUUUUAUUUUUAAGAAAAUAAAAGUUUUUAUAUUUUCUAUAUAAGAUUUCUAUAAUAUAUUUAUUUAUUAUUAUUAUAAAAUAUAUUUAUUUUUUAUUUAAAUAAUAUUUUAAGUAUAAAAAGUAAAUUAUAAAUCAAAUAAAAAUUCUUUAUUAUUUAAAAACUAGUGAUCUUUUAUAUAAAUAAAAAUAUAUAAAUUUUUUUCAAAGUUUACUUAUAAAUUCUGAAAAUACAAAAAAAAAUUAUUUUAUUUCAAAAAAUAAUAUAAGUAAAUUUAAAAUUCUGUUGUUAUUUUUAUUUAAAAUUAUUUUUAUAAAAUUAAUAUAAUCUAUAAAUAUAAAUACACCGUAAAACUUCUCAUUUUGCUACGUGAGAAAUAUUUCUUCCCAUAUUUUACCAUCAAAUAGUAUAUUUUUCCUUUUAAUUAAUUAAUAUAAAUAAAGUUUUCUUUUCAUCAAAAGAAAAUGAUUUACUAAAAUUUUAUAUCAUGAAUAUCGUUAAUAACUUUUUCUUACAUAUGUAACGUUAAUCAGAAAGAGAGAAAAUAAGAGAAGUAAAAUAUUUAGAUUAAAAUUAUUUAUAACAAAAAUUAAUAAGUUUAGAAUUCAUUAGAAGAUAUUUUAAAUUUUAUAAAAUUUAAUUUAAUUAAUAAUUAAUUUUUAUAAAUUUAAUAAGAAAAUAUCUUAAUUUUUUUUUAAAAACAAAUUUUAUAAAAAUUUAUAGAAUUUGUUAAUAUCAAAUGCAAAGUAAAAGAAUCAUAUUUCAUUCUAUUGAAAAAGAAGGAAAAAGAAGAAAGAAAUAUGUGUACCAUAUGAAAGCAAAUUGAAUUAGUUAUGAGCCAUAUUUCUUAAUAGCAGAACUCUUAUUUCACUUGCAUAAUAAUGUUACAACAAUAAAUAUAAAACAACAGAAAAAUCAAAGGAAAGAAAAGGCAAAAUUAAUCGAACCUACAUAACAAGUUGCGCAUGCUUCUGCACCAUAUUUCCUAUAUUAGUUUUCGCUCUUAUUUUCAUAGUCUAGCUAUGUAGAUAAAGAUUUUAUUAAUUUUCUUUCAAACCUCAGUUACUUGAAUGUCGAGAAAGAAAGGAGAAGCCGGAAUCAUUUAGUUUUUCUUCAACAAUUUGAUCUAAACAAGCACCCAUUUCUUCAGUAAAAUAAUUCUUCCAAUCUCCACUCUUACCUUUCCGAUAGUAUAAACUAUUUUUCAUAGUAAAUGGAGAGUCUGGACUGUAAACACCGUUUUCUGUUACUUUUGAAUUUUUUAAACUCUCAAAACUGCAUAAAUCAAUGAUUUGGUGCACUACUCCUUGUUUCUCUUCCUCUAAAGUAAAGGGAUAUCCAAGAAAGUUAGCUAGUUUCUUAACAUUGAAAACAAUGUCCUCCUUCAAAUCUUCGUAUUGCAAGAAUAAAACCUUCUCAGGAUACUCUUGGCUUGCCUUCCAAUACCCUGCAACAUGAUCCCAAUAAGGUCCAUUUAAAGCAACUCCUUCACAAAACGACUCGAAAGAAUCAGCCAUGUUGCAAUAUGCAUCUUUGUCGAUUCCUUCUGGUAAUCUUGCUCUUAAGAAAUGCCACAUUGAUACUAACACAUC